RNAcentral lists this non-coding RNA (64 nucleotides) under Massilia aurea. RNAcentral describes it as "partial 16S ribosomal RNA". It matches the Rfam family "Bacterial small subunit ribosomal RNA", at positions 1 to 64 of the family's 1533-position model. RNAcentral also lists the same sequence under 2 other names. The record is from RNAcentral. Lineage: Bacteria; Pseudomonadati; Pseudomonadota; Betaproteobacteria; Burkholderiales; Oxalobacteraceae.
GAACUGAAGAGUUUGAUCCUGGCUCAGAUUGAACGCUGGCGGCAUGCUUUACACAUGCAAGUCG